Molecule: non-coding RNA, 65 nt
Filed under: Streptomyces sp. RK76
Lineage: Bacteria; Bacillati; Actinomycetota; Actinomycetes; Kitasatosporales; Streptomycetaceae
Source: RNAcentral
AGCCGAAACCUCCGGGAGGAGGUCGGCCGGGGGUGGCGCCCCGGUCCUGACGAUGGCAGCCAGAC